Molecule: ribosomal RNA, 384 nt
Filed under: uncultured bacterium
Lineage: Bacteria
Description: bacterial SSU rRNA
Rfam family: Bacterial small subunit ribosomal RNA
Source: RNAcentral
AAUGGGGGAAACCCUGAUGCAGCGACGCCGCGUGAGCGAAGAAGGCUUUCGGGUCGUAAAGCUCUGUCCUAAGGGAAGAUAGUGACGGUACCUUAGGAGGAAGCCCCGGCUAACUACGUGCCAGCAGCCGCGGUAAUACGUAGGGGGCGAGCGUUAUCCGGAAUUAUUGGGCGUAAAGGGUUCGCAGGUGGCCUGAUAAGUCAGAUGUGAAAGGCAGUGGCUCAACCAUUGCAAGCAUUUGAAACUGUCAGGCUUGAGUACAGGAGAGGAAAGCGGAAUUCCUAGUGUAGCGGUGAAAUGCGUAGAUAUUAGGAGGAACACCAGUGGCGAAGGCGGCUUUCUGGACUGAAACUGACACUGAGGAACGAAAGCGUGGGGAGCAAA